UGCCUUGGGCUACACACGUGCUACAAUGGUCGGUACAAAGAGAAGCGAGACAGCGAUGUGGAGCAAAUCUCAAAAGCCGAUCCCAGUUCGGAUUGCAGGCUGCAACUCGCCUGCAUGAAGUCGGAGUUGCUAGUAAUCGUGGAUCAGAAUGCCACGGUGAAUGCGUUCCCGGGUCUU
RNAcentral lists this ribosomal RNA (177 nucleotides) under uncultured bacterium. Its description in RNAcentral is "partial 16S ribosomal RNA". It matches the Rfam family "Bacterial small subunit ribosomal RNA", at positions 1205 to 1382 of the family's 1533-position model. The record is from RNAcentral.